This 465-nucleotide ribosomal RNA is filed under the name uncultured bacterium. Its description in RNAcentral is "partial 16S ribosomal RNA". It matches the Rfam family "Bacterial small subunit ribosomal RNA", at positions 338 to 795 of the family's 1533-position model. The record is from RNAcentral.
CCUACGGGAGGCAGCAGUGGGGAAUAUUGCGCAAUGGGCGAAAGCCUGACGCAGCGACGCCGCGUGAGGGAUGAAGGUCUUCGGAUCGUAAACCUCUGUCAGCAGGGAAGAACGGUCACUGUGCUAAUCAGCAGUGAAUUGACGGUACCUGCAAAGGAAGCACCGGCUAACUCCGUGCCAGCAGCCGCGGUAAUACGGGGGGUGGGAGCGUUAAUCGGAAUUACUGGGCGUAAAGCGCUCGUAGGCGGUAUGUCAAGUCAAGGGGGAAAUCCCCGCGGUCAACGUGGGAACUGCCUUUGAAACUGGCAAACUGGAGUGUGUGAGAGGAUAGUGGAAUUCCAGGUGUAGGAGUGAAAUCCGUAGAUAUCUGGAGGAACAUCAGUGGCGAAGGCGACUAUCUGGCACAUAACUGACGCUGAGGAGCGAAAGCGUGGGUAGCAAACAGGAUUAGAUACCCGAGUAGUC